CAAUUAGCGAUUCAAGUUCAUCUCCAAGCCACCUAUCGGAAGAAACUGUAAUAUCGGCUUAAGUGUUCGAGGAGUUAUAAGAGUUGUGUUCUAGAGUUUCAUCAUUUAUCUAAUAUUUAUUU
This is a long non-coding RNA of Harmonia axyridis, 122 nucleotides long. RefSeq lists it as uncharacterized. The record is from RefSeq and is a predicted model, not a curated record. NCBI's taxonomy places the organism in Eukaryota, Metazoa, Arthropoda, Insecta, Coleoptera, Coccinellidae. The transcript has 2 exons.